This 951-nucleotide ribosomal RNA is filed under the name Triticum aestivum (bread wheat). RNAcentral's name for it is "partial small subunit ribosomal RNA". The record is from RNAcentral. Lineage: Eukaryota; Viridiplantae; Streptophyta; Magnoliopsida; Poales; Poaceae.
AUGCUGUCUUCUCACUGCGAGAGCAUGCUGGCCUACGCCGCCGCCGCCGGACGGCGCGCGAUGCUGGUCGACCCCCGGCGCUACCGGCCCAACGUGGAGGUGGCGCCCAACUGCCCGCGCUGCGACUCGCCCAACACCAAGUUCUGCUACUACAACAACUACAGCCUCAGCCAGCCGCGCUACUUCUGCAAGGGCUGCCGCCGCUACUGGACCAAGGGCGGGUCCCUCCGCAACGUGCCCGUCGGCGGCGGCUGCCGCAAGAACCGGCGGGGCAAGCCUGUGCGGUCCAUGGCCGAGGCCGACACGGCCUCGCCGAGCCACGGCGCGGCAGUGUUCUCUCACCGCUUCCACGGCCCGGUCCGACCCGACCUGCUCCUGGAAGGCAUGGUUGGCAACCCGGCCGAGCUCGCCCAGCCGGAGCCGGGCGAGGCUGAGAAGCCCGCCGGAGCCGCCGACGGCCCGACGAUCGAUCUGGCACUGCUCUACUCCAAGUUCUUGAGCCAACAGCCUCUCGCCGAGCAGGGCGCCGUCGUGCCGGAAUCGGCCGGCCCCUCGAGUGGGUCAAGCACGGAGAUGAGCCCGCCGGCCCUAUCCAGCCCAGGCCAACACGGGUUGGGCGAAAUCUGCGGGCCGGCGAGCAGCACGGAGCCCAGCGCGACGACGAUGCUCCAGUGCGCCGACGCGCGCGCGCACGCGCUUGGCGAGUUCAACUUCAGCGUGGACCAGAGCUGCUACGACUCGCUCGGGCUGCCAACGGACGGCGCCGAUCUGACGAUGCUCCCGCCGGCGUGGGACCAGGAGGCCAAGUACGAGCCGUUCAGUUCGCUUCCCGAUCAGGAGGACGCCAUGAGCCUCCACGACGCCGUCCCCGCCGGCGACGACGUGUGGAGCAAGGUGCUGGGCUGCCAAGGGCUGGAAGCCGCUCUCUCCGCAGGCCUCGAUCGAUGCUAA